This 655-nucleotide ribosomal RNA is filed under the name Sulfitobacter faviae. RNAcentral's name for it is "bacterial SSU rRNA". It matches the Rfam family "Bacterial small subunit ribosomal RNA", at positions 112 to 802 of the family's 1533-position model. Lineage: Bacteria; Pseudomonadati; Pseudomonadota; Alphaproteobacteria; Rhodobacterales; Roseobacteraceae. The record is from RNAcentral.
AACGCGUGGGAACGUGCCCUUCUCUGCGGAAUAGCCACUGGAAACGGUGAGUAAUACCGCAUACGCCCUUCGGGGGAAAGAUUUAUCGGAGAAGGAUCGGCCCGCGUUAGAUUAGAUAGUUGGUGGGGUAACGGCCUACCAAGUCUACGAUCUAUAGCUGGUUUUAGAGGAUGAUCAGCAACACUGGGACUGAGACACGGCCCAGACUCCUACGGGAGGCAGCAGUGGGGAAUCUUAGACAAUGGGCGCAAGCCUGAUCUAGCCAUGCCGCGUGUGUGAUGAAGGUCUUAGGAUCGUAAAGCACUUUCGCCAGGGAUGAUAAUGACAGUACCUGGUAAAGAAACCCCGGCUAACUCCGUGCCAGCAGCCGCGGUAAUACGGAGGGGGUUAGCGUUGUUCGGAAUUACUGGGCGUAAAGCGCGCGUAGGCGGAUUGGAAAGUUGGGGGUGAAAUCCCGGGGCUCAACCCCGGAACUGCCUCCAAAACUAUCAGUCUAGAGUUCGAGAGAGGUGAGUGGAAUUCCAAGUGUAGAGGUGAAAUUCGUAGAUAUUUGGAGGAACAUCAGUGGCGAAGGCGGCUCACUGGCUCGAUACUGACGCUGAGGUGCGAAAGUGUGGGGAGCAAACAGGAUUAGAUACCCUGGUAGUCCACACCG